GAUGAACGCUGGCGGCGUGCUUAACACAUGCAAGUCGAACGGAAAGGCCCAAGCUUGCUUGGGUACUCGAGUGGCGAACGGGUGAGUAACACGUGGGUGAUCUGCCCUGCACUUCGGGAUAAGCCUGGGAAACUGGGUCUAAUACCGGAUAGGACGAUGGUUUGGAUGCCAUUGUGGAAAGUUUUUUCGGUGUGGGAUGAGCUCGCGGCCUAUCAGCUUGUUGGUGGGGUAAUGGCCUACCAAGGCGUCGACGGGUAGCCGGCCUGAGAGGGUGUACGGCCACAUUGGGACUGAGAUACGGCCCAGACUCCUACGGGAGGCAGCAGUGGGGAAUAUUGCACAAUGGGCGCAAGCCUGAUGCAGCGACGCCGCGUGGGGGAUGACGGCCUUCGGGUUGUAAACUCCUUUCGCUAGGGACGAAGCGUUUUUGUGACGGUACCUGGAGAAGAGGCACCGGCUAACUACGUG
RNAcentral lists this ribosomal RNA (468 nucleotides) under uncultured bacterium. RNAcentral describes it as "partial 16S ribosomal RNA". It matches the Rfam family "Bacterial small subunit ribosomal RNA", at positions 28 to 507 of the family's 1533-position model. The record is from RNAcentral.